GGGGAUGCUUGGUUCGACACAUUUGCGCGUACUCAUUAGCAAGCCGAGGAAGAUUACAUAUCCUCGCUAAAUAACAGUAAUCAAACAACAAACGGCAAUACACAAUAUGUUGCUCCGGUGGCUCCCGCAUACGCUUUUGCGUAAUAAGGAAUUAUCCGGCAUCACCCCGUAACUUUGUUCCUGACGGAAACGGUGUGUGGUGUCAUAUUUGUCAGGUAUUUAUCGAUUUUGCACAUUUAUCAUUCAUCGUAAAGCUUGUAUAACUAAUUUUUAUUAACAACGUGUGCACGGGGGUUCGACUCCCCCCAUCUCCACCA
RNAcentral lists this transfer-messenger RNA (317 nucleotides) under Patescibacteria group. RNAcentral describes it as "GCA-002791395 sp002771355 X1 Standard tmRNA". It matches the Rfam family "transfer-messenger RNA". Rfam says of the family: Bacterial tmRNA, also known as 10Sa RNA or SsrA, is named for its dual tRNA and mRNA-like properties. Its role is to liberate the mRNA from a stalled ribosome. The record is from RNAcentral. RNAcentral also lists the same sequence under 2 other names.